This 164-nucleotide ribosomal RNA is filed under the name uncultured bacterium. RNAcentral describes it as "partial 16S ribosomal RNA". It matches the Rfam family "Bacterial small subunit ribosomal RNA", at positions 355 to 511 of the family's 1533-position model. The record is from RNAcentral.
UAGGGAAUCUUCCACAAUGGGCGAAAGCCUGAUGGAGCAACGCCGCGUGUGUGAUGAAGGGUUCCGGCUCGUAAAACACUGUUGUAAGAGAAGAAUGACAUUGAGAGUAACUGUUCAAUGUGUGACGGUAUCUUACCAGAAAGGAACGGCUAAAUACGUGCCAG